RNAcentral lists this ribosomal RNA (388 nucleotides) under Syndiniales sp. RNAcentral describes it as "partial small subunit ribosomal RNA". It matches the Rfam family "Eukaryotic small subunit ribosomal RNA", at positions 582 to 975 of the family's 1831-position model. The record is from RNAcentral. Lineage: Eukaryota; Dinophyceae; Syndiniales.
AUUCCAGCUCCAAUAGCGUAUAUUAAAGUUGUUGCGGUUAAAAAGCUCGUAGUUGGAUUUCUGUUGAGGACGGUCGGUCCAUCCUCUGGAUGAGCAUCUGAUACGGCCUCGGCAUCCUCUUGGGGAACGUCGUUGUGCUUUAUUGCGUGACACGGUAUUCAAGACUUUACUUUGAGGAAAUUAGAGUGUUCACGGCAGGCAGUCGCCAUUAAUACAUUAGCAUGGAAUAAUAACAUAGGACCUUGGUUCUAUUUUGUUGGUUUCUAGAGCUAAGGUAAUGAUUAAUAGGGAUAAUUGGGGCGAUUCGUAUUAUCACGUCAGAGGUGGAAUUCUUGGAUUGUGAUACGACGAACUACUGCGAAAGCAUUUCGCAAGGAUGUUUUCAUUG